AUUGAACGCUGGCGGAAUGCUUUACACAUGCAAGUCGAGCGAGAAAGCUCCUUCGGGAGUUAGUAAAGCGGCGAACGGGUGAGCAACACGUGAGAAUCUACCCUUUAGUGAAGAAUACCCUCGAGAAAUCGAGGCUAAUACUGCAUACGUCCCUUCGGGGAGAAAGAUGGCCUCUUUGCUAUCGCUAAAGGAUGAGCUUGCGUACUAUUAGCUAGUUGGCGGGGUAAAGGCCCACCAAGGCAAUGAUGGUUAACCGGCCUGAGAGGGUGUACGGUCACACUGGAACUUAGACACGGUCCAGACUCCUACGGGAGGCAGCAGUGAGGAAUCUUGCGCAAUGGGCGAAAGCCUGACGCAGCGACGCCGCGUGGAGGAUGACGGUUUUCGGAUUGUAAACUCCUGUUAAGCGGGAAGAAAGCCUUGUUUCUAAUACAAGCAAGGUAUGACGGUACCGCUAGAGAAAGCACCGGCUAACUUCGUGCCAGCAGCCGCGGUAAAGUGACG
This 504-nucleotide ribosomal RNA is filed under the name uncultured bacterium. RNAcentral describes it as "bacterial SSU rRNA". It matches the Rfam family "Bacterial small subunit ribosomal RNA", at positions 30 to 530 of the family's 1533-position model. The record is from RNAcentral.